Salvelinus sp. IW2-2015 is the source of this 1497-nucleotide long non-coding RNA. RefSeq lists it as uncharacterized. Lineage: Eukaryota; Metazoa; Chordata; Actinopteri; Salmoniformes; Salmonidae. The record is from RefSeq and is a predicted model, not a curated record.
CUGUUUCCAAUCGUCAACAUGGCUGGGAGAACCUAUUGAACUACAGAGAGCUAUGAACGCCUGUUGUAUGCAGAUGAAGAGGUCCCAAUGAAGAGCGGUGGUUCUCAGUCCAGGUCCUGGGGACUCAAAGUGAUACCUUGCAACUGGAGAUUCCUCCAAAACGAUUCCCUACAGUUACCGUAUAGGGCACUGCACGAUUGGGUGGCCAGGGCCACCUUGGACUGCCUCGUGGGGAAAUUCAGGUGUGUGUGAAGGCUACCUGUGUCCUGCAUAACUUCAUGAGGAUGGACACAAGGACCAGGAGGGGACCUGCAGCUUGCCGCCGUGUGCCAGAGGAGAGGUCUGCUGCUUUGCAGGAUGUUGCAAGGAUGGGGGCCAACAAUGCAGCACUGGAGGCAAUCCGUGUGGGAAGGCCUUUACCUCCUACUUCCCUGGCAACACCAUAUACCACACUAUGCACAACCAAAGGGUCUUUUAAGAGCCACCCACCUUGCAAUAAGAGUAUUGUUCCAUUUACUUAGGUAUGUCAACUGCAGUUAUGAUUUAUACUUCUUAGGUGAGGGUGCCGUUCAGGUAAAAUUAUAAAUAAAUAAAAAUGUUUACCUUAUUUAACGGUGCUGUUCAGGUAAGGGUGAUGUCUGUACAUAAACAAAACAGGCUCUUUUAAGAGUCACCCAUAUUGAAAAAAAUGUGAACAGUAAGACACCCUACAACCCACACAGUUGUGUAUCAAUCUGAUUGAUGGAUUGUAUUGUGCAGUAAGCAGGCUCAGGUGUAUAACUGGCUCCUUCCACCUUCAAAGAAUAGGCAAGAGGACCAACCAUGGAGAAUAGUAAGACACACCAUUAUUUAUAUUUAAGUAACUACGCUAUAUCGUUUGUCCUCGUGUGUCUGCAUGUUUUUCAGUAUAAAGUACUCUGCAGCCACACACAGAUUCCUGUUKAACACUGUCUCUUUAACUACCUUGUUUUCUCAAUAACAAUUUCGACCCCUUCUCCCUAAAUCCUCUAGGUUAGAUCAGCUGUGUCGGUGAACCACUCCCGCUUCUGAACUGCCUGACACAUAGAGGGCACAGCAUGAUCAGAGGUAUGUUUUACUGUAAGAGAGGAUGCCAACCCCCAGUCCCGUCAUCGCCGAUCUAAGAUAACCCUCUGGCCAACUGGGGGCCCAAGAAUGGUUAGGAGACACUGUUAGAGACACUUAUGUAAUUGUGAUGACCUGAAAGAAUAGGAAGUUUGGUAGCACAGUAAUUCAUUAAUCAUAUGCUGUCUUCCCUGCUCCUCCGUUCUUAUCUCGUUCCCUUUCUGUCUAUUACACUUUUUCUCACGCCUCUCCCCACCUCAUCUUUCUUCCUCUGUUUUUAUAAUGCCCACCAGAUGUGCAUUGAAUUACAGAUUGAACUUAUAUUUAUACUAUUUAAUAAUAUUACGUAUUUAUAACUUGGAUGAUUAACUUCUUUCAACUUCUUUCAAUAAAGCUAUUCAUACCUGAAUCGCA